AAGUCGUAACAAGGUCUCCGUUGGUGAACCAGCGGAGGGAUCAUUACGAGAGUGUCACCACUCCCAACCCAUUGUUUACCUACCCGUCCACCGUGCUUCGGCAGGCAGCCCUGUGGGACAGAGCCUCGCCCCCCUCGCGGGGGGUGCCUGCCGCUGGCCAACCAAAAAUUCUAGCCGUUUUAGUACCAUCUGAGUCUUCCACAAAUGAACAAAACUUUCAACAACGGAUCUCUUGGUUCUG
This 241-nucleotide unclassified non-coding RNA is filed under the name Myrmecridium schulzeri. RNAcentral's name for it is "partial internal transcribed spacer region". The stretch from base 1 to 46 matches the Rfam family "Eukaryotic small subunit ribosomal RNA", at positions 1786 to 1831 of the family's 1831-position model. Lineage: Eukaryota; Fungi; Ascomycota; Sordariomycetes; Myrmecridiales; Myrmecridiaceae. The record is from RNAcentral.